AGGCGUUUUCCGGGUUCCUUGCUGUCUCUGUGAAUUCCCAGAGAGAAAGCCAGAUUGCGCGGAUAAUUCUAAGGAAAAUCGCGUUCCUGAGUCCUAGCAGAAGAAAAAUAUUUUCCGCCUAUACCAUUGGUUGCUACAGGUUCUUUUUGUUUGUUUUUUUUGUUUUCACUUUUUGACAGCUAAUUUCAACUGCUAUUGCCUAAGAAAAAAGUGCAAUAGCUUUCGGAAACCAAGAAAGCUUCUUUCUAGUUCAGCUGUACCACAUAAUUUAUUGUCAUUCCAACUUACUUUAGGAACGUAUUGUGAGACAAAUAGGAAAAAAAAACAGGGAAAUGGUAUCCCAAAUGAGUCUGGUUAACUUGGUUGCACAUCGCACUAGUUGUCAUGGAAUGGAAAGCUGCAGCGUUAAGACAGUUCCAUCAUUCAGCCAGGAAAAGGAAGUAAGUAUACAAUUCUAAUAACUAUUAUCAUCUUAUUACCCCUAGGAAUGCCUGCGUUCUGCUGUUGCUGCUAGUGUGGAUGUUCUACGUCCCAUUUGAAACAAUUAAUGGCAACAGGAGUUGUCCGACUAGUUACAAAAGCCUUUUUAGUGAUUAUUCAGGCAGCUUGUAUUGAGCAUCCAUCGUAGAGGAAAAUACAG
Molecule: long non-coding RNA, 640 nt
Organism: Daphnia magna
Lineage: Eukaryota; Metazoa; Arthropoda; Branchiopoda; Diplostraca; Daphniidae
Exons: 3
Source: RefSeq, a predicted model, not a curated record